Long non-coding RNA from Nerophis ophidion (straightnose pipefish), 1439 nucleotides. RefSeq lists it as uncharacterized. Lineage: Eukaryota; Metazoa; Chordata; Actinopteri; Syngnathiformes; Syngnathidae. The record is from RefSeq and is a predicted model, not a curated record. The transcript is spliced from 3 exons.
AGCCCCCUCAUAAUGCACUGAAUCCCCAGCAAAGCCCUGUGUGAGCCGUCCAUCACGUGACUACACCCCCGUCUAAACACACACACGUGUGUGUGUGUGUGUGUGUGUGUGUGUGUGUGUGUGUGUGCCACUUCUGCUGGCAGACACAGCUAACGUUAAUCUCUCGCUGAAGGUCGACGGACACAAUGAACGUCGGGGGGAGUCGAGGCUUGCAGGUUCUCAAAUGUCAGGUGGAAAGUUGGCUGCCCUCCAUGUUGAAGAUGUUUGUGGGGAGGCGCAGCCGACGGGCUGAGAUGGCGGCAAGGAGGCAGAGAGUGCGGAUGAGCGGAGAGGCGGGAGCGACUCCGCCGCAAUCAAAUUCAGGUGCGUAGAUUGCGCACUAGCACACAAUUGACAUUUCUCCUCUGGCUGUAUAAAAGGGGAGAAGGAGGAGGGAUCAUGGCAGAAGAAGUAGGAGAACCAGCAGCAGAACCUGACGAGCGAAAAUGACCGAGAGCGACAGCGACGAAGACGCGGCCGACUGAAAGCGAGCGAGCGAGCAGUGCAUGUAGAAUGGAGAGGUGGUACUCACAGGGAAGAGCACGAUGGGAACAGUCAGGGUGACGGCGGUGAGAACCGCCAAGCGCACCAUCAGCAGUAGCGUGUCAAACUUGUACACCUUGGUGAAGGUGUGCAGAAGCUCGGCCUCCACGUUGUCUGUCAGUGACAAGAGGAAACAGGCGCUUGUCAAAGGACGACGACAAACACGACACAGUCACACGGUAACUCUGAAAACAGUUCAAACUUUUCUCCACUGAGGGUCAAACGCUGGAAAAUCAAAGCAUGCGACUGCCGUUUUGACUUUUUCAAUUUUCAAAACCAUCCAUCUAUCCAUCUUCGUCCGCUUAACCGAGGUCGGGUUGCGGGGGCAGCAGCCUAAGCAGGGAAGCCCAGACUUCCCUCUCCCCAGCCACUUUGUCCAGCUCUUUCUGGGGAAUCCCGAAGCGUUCCCAGGCCAGCCGGGAGACAUAGUCUUCCCAACGUGUCCUGGGUCUUCCCCGUGGCCUCCUACCGGUUGGACGUGCCCGAAACACCUCCCUAGGGAGGCGUUCGGGUGGCAUCCUGACCAGAUGCCCGAACCACCUCAUCCGGCUCCUCUCCAUGUGAGCAGCGGCUUUAAUUUGUGCUCCCCCGGAUGGCAGAGCUUCUCACCCUAUCUCUAAGGGAGAAACCCGCCACCUGGCGGAGGAAACAGAUUUCAGCCGCUUGUACCCGUGAUCUUGUCCUUUCGGUCAUAACCCAAAGCUCAUGACCAUAGGUGAGGAUGGGAAUGUAGAUCGACCGGUAAAUUGAGAGCUUUGCCUUCCGGCUCAGCUCCUUCUUCACCGCAACGGAUCGAUACAUAUUUUCCAAACCAGUAUAACAUGUAGAUGUUUUUAACUCCAUAGGCUCCCUUCAUA